CAAAUAAAAGCUUUAAUAGCAUUUUAGUUACAUUAAAAAGAUUGUUGUAGAAUCAAUAUUAUUUG
Molecule: transfer RNA, 65 nt
Filed under: Ceratopus sp. CG351
Lineage: Eukaryota; Metazoa; Arthropoda; Insecta; Coleoptera; Curculionidae
Description: tRNA-Val
Source: RNAcentral